Maylandia zebra (zebra mbuna) is the source of this 603-nucleotide non-coding RNA. The record is from RefSeq and is a predicted model, not a curated record. Lineage: Eukaryota; Metazoa; Chordata; Actinopteri; Cichliformes; Cichlidae.
UCCGCUUAUUACUUGGGGUCUUUGUACAAGAGUCUGGGGAGACUUAAGAAGUGCUGUGUGAAAGAGAAGCAAACUUUUUAUUCAGAAGAUGGAAUACAGAGUCUGCCUUGUUUCUGACUGACAUAUGUUCUGUGUGUGUGAGAGAAGAACUGGGAUCAACACUUUCUGCGCAUAAGGAGAGCUUAAAGUGUUUCUCAGAUGGCUUGUGAGGGCUCUGCCAGUGACAUCACUCUCGCAGUUAAGGCCCCCCCCACUACUCCCCCAUCCCUCCUCCCUCUCAGGUGAAAGGUAUCAUUUGCCGCAUCUCCUGCCAAGUCUGGAGUUGGAAAACUUUAAUUUCCCUAGCUCUGCAGACGGUGCCAGAGGUUUGAUGUCCAUUACCCAAGCCCUGAAACAAGAGCUGACGUGGACUUGGAGUGAGCUAAGUGCUCUGUGGCAGCAUUACCUAACCCCCAGAACCUCUGCAGCGUCUUUCUCAGUGUCUCUCCACCUCUUCAUUUGCUUCCCCCCCGCCACCCCUCUUCGCUCCCUGUUGUCUCUUUUUUCUGAGGGCAUUGUCAUGAGCAGGGUUGAGAUUCCUGUAAAAAAAAAAAAAAAAGAAGA